RNAcentral lists this ribosomal RNA (618 nucleotides) under Moraxella sp. Its description in RNAcentral is "bacterial SSU rRNA". It matches the Rfam family "Bacterial small subunit ribosomal RNA", at positions 136 to 748 of the family's 1533-position model. Lineage: Bacteria; Pseudomonadati; Pseudomonadota; Gammaproteobacteria; Moraxellales; Moraxellaceae. The record is from RNAcentral.
GAGGGGAUAGCUCGGGGAAACUCGAAUUAUAUACACGCAUACGACCUAUCUGGGUGAAAGGGGGCGCAAGCUCUUGCUAUUAGAUGAGCCUAAAUCAGAUUAGCUAGUUGGUGGGGUAAAGGCCCACCAGAGGCGACGAUCUGUAACUGGUCUGAGAGGAUGAUCAGUCACACCGGAGCAUGAGACACGGUCCGGACUCCUACGGGAGGCAGACAGUGGGGAAUAUUGGACAAUGGGGGCAACCCUGAUCCAGCCAUGCCGCGUGUGUGAAGAAGGCCUUUUGGUUGUAAAGCACUUUAAGCAGGGAGGAGAGGCUAAUGGUUAAUACCCAUUAGAUUAUACGUUACCUGCAGAAUAAGCACCGGCUAACUCUGUGCCAGCAGCCGCGGUAAUACAGAGGGUGCGAGCGUUAAUCGGAAUUACUGGGCGUAAAGCGAGUGUAGGUGGCUCAUUAAGUCACAUGUGAAAUCCCCGGGCUUAACCUGGGAACUGCAUGUGAUACUGGUGGUGCUAGAAUAUGUGAGAGGGAAGUACAAUUCCAGGUGUAGCGGUGAAAUGCGUAGAGAUCUGGAGGAAUACCGAUGGCAAAAGCAGCUUCCUGGCAUAAUAUUGACACUG